Capsella rubella is the source of this 441-nucleotide long non-coding RNA. RefSeq lists it as uncharacterized. Lineage: Eukaryota; Viridiplantae; Streptophyta; Magnoliopsida; Brassicales; Brassicaceae. The record is from RefSeq and is a predicted model, not a curated record. The transcript has 3 exons.
CCUUACCAAUGUUAUAGGACAUUUAUAAUCAUGGGGAGGAGAACAUGGACUUGAGCCUGCUUCGCUUCCAUUGCUUUUUGACUUCACUGUCACAGGUGACUCGGCUUCAUCUUCGUCCCUUCUUCUUCCUUUGCUUGGUUUCUCUGCUGAACUAGAGAAUUCUGAGAAUGAGUCUGAUGGGGUCCCAAGAUGAACCACAUUUUACAGCUAUGAGGUGCAUGUUGAAGCACAUACUCUGCUUUUCUAGAUGUGAUACCCAUCCGCCUGCAUCAUCAAAGAGAGCUUAGCGUACUUGUUUUAUCCACUGAUCUUUCUAGUUUUCAUUACAUGGGCUGAUUCAUUAGAAGAAUCUUUAAACUUUUAGUUAUUGAUUGAUUUUUGGAGCUAUCCUUGCCUGGAGUAGUGAGGAUCAGCUGCUGCUCCCAUAACGAGCUUCUUGAU